UUUCCGUAGGUGAACCUGCGGAAGGAUCAUUAUUGUAUAACCGAGGUGCGAGGGCUGUCGCUGACCCGAAAGGUCGUGCACGCCCGAGUGCCCUCACACACAUCUAUCUCACCCCUGUGUGCACCACCGCGUGGGUCCCCCUUUGGCUUGUUCGGAGGGGGGCUUACGUUUUCACACAAACUUUGUAUGCAGUGUAGAAUGUAUUUUUUGUUUUUGCGAUCACGCAAUCAAUACAACUUUCAACAACGGAUCUCUUGGCUCUC
This 263-nucleotide unclassified non-coding RNA is filed under the name plant metagenome. RNAcentral describes it as "partial contains small subunit ribosomal RNA, internal transcribed spacer 1, and 5.8S ribosomal RNA". The record is from RNAcentral.